GAUGAACGCUGGCGGCGUGCCUAAUACAUGCAAGUCGAGCGAACGGACGCGAAGCUUGCUUCUUUGAUGUUAGCGGAGGACGGGUGAAUCACGCGUGUAUCACCUCCCUAUCAGAGUGGGAUCACUUCGAAAAACCGGCGCUAAUCCCGUAUGAUCUUUUGCACCGCGUGGUUCAAAGGUGAAUUACGGUCUUUGUGGCACUUCUAGCUGGAUCCGGGCUGCAUUAGCUAGUUGUUAAGGUCACGGCUUACCAAGGCAACGAUGCAUAGCCGACCUGAGAGAGGGAUCGGCCACACUGGAACUGGGACACGGUCCAGACGACUACGGGAGGCAGCAGAAUGGAACCGUAGGCAGUGGGGGAAAGCCUGACGGAGCAACGCGACGUGAGAUACGAAGGCGUUCGGAUCGGAAUGAUGGGUUAUGAGGUAAGAACAGAUGUGGAAGUAGCCGAGGACAGAGUGACGGUAAUGAAUAAGAAAGCAACGGCUAACUACGUG
This 497-nucleotide ribosomal RNA is filed under the name uncultured bacterium. Its description in RNAcentral is "partial 16S ribosomal RNA". It matches the Rfam family "Bacterial small subunit ribosomal RNA", at positions 28 to 507 of the family's 1533-position model. The record is from RNAcentral.